This is a long non-coding RNA of Dendronephthya gigantea, 644 nucleotides long. RefSeq lists it as uncharacterized. Lineage: Eukaryota; Metazoa; Cnidaria; Anthozoa; Malacalcyonacea; Nephtheidae. The record is from RefSeq and is a predicted model, not a curated record. The transcript has 4 exons.
GUCGAACCAAGCGGAGUAAACUUAUACAAAGUUAGGAAAAUUGUUGGCAAACUGGUUUAAACUGGUAGUUCUUUGGAAGGUAAAAGUUCUUUGGAAGAAGUCAAAAUGAAGAGUUUCAUGUUUUUUUUCCUUUUGGUGUUACAAAUAUGCUGUGUUUUUGUCUUGGCGGAUAUUUCUUCGGAAGGCCAAGAUGAUAUUGAGAAUAUUUUAACUAAAGUGGACACAAGUUCCACGGAUAGGAAAAAUCCUGUACGAGAAAAGCGGGGAUGGUUCAGCAACAACAACAACAACAAAACACAACAAUAAUAAUAAUAACAAUAACAACAACAAUAAUAACAACAAUAACAACAACAAUAACAACAACAACAACCGGUAUUGUACAGAACCUUGUUACUGUUGGAUCGGUGAUAAGCAUAACUCCAAAAUUUAUGUCGAUUAUCGAAAAAUCUCGUGUCGAGGAAGUUCGGAUUCACACGCAUGCGCAUUGGCGUGCCAGAGAAAGUGUGGAUACUAUAUCAACAGCUAUAGUUACCUAUGCAAAAAGAUUAAUGAGGUAUAUGAUUCUCAUCAAGGAGAACUUGGGUGUUACGCAAGUCACAGAGAUCCAACUUCAGUCCACGGGAGGAAGAGAAGCCCAAACAACA